Molecule: ribosomal RNA, 550 nt
Filed under: uncultured bacterium
Lineage: Bacteria
Description: bacterial SSU rRNA
Rfam family: Bacterial small subunit ribosomal RNA
Source: RNAcentral
UGGGGAAUUUUGGACAAUGGGCGCAAGCCUGAUCCAGCCAUGCCGCGUGCAGGAUGAAGGCCUUCGGGUUGUAAACUGCUUUUGUACGGAACGAAAAGCCCCCUUCUAAUAAAGGGGGGUGAUGACGGUACCGUAAGAAUAAGCACCGGCUAACUACGUGCCAGCAGCCGCGGUAAUACGUAGGGUGCAAGCGUUAAUCGGAAUUACUGGGCGUAAAGCGUGCGCAGGCGGUUAUGUAAGACAGAGGUGAAAUCCCCGGGCUCAACCUGGGAACUGCCUUUGUGACUGCAUAGCUUGAGUGCGGCAGAGGGGGAUGGAAUUCCGCGUGUAGCAGUGAAAUGCGUAGAUAUGCGGAGGAACACCGAUGGCGAAGGCAAUCCCCUGGGCCUGCACUGACGCUCAUGCACGAAAGCGUGGGGAGCAAACAGGAUUAGAUACCCCUGGUAGUCCACGCCCUAAACAAUGUCAACUGAUUGUUGGGAAUUAACUUUCUCAGUAACGAAGCUAACGCGUGAAGUUGACCGCCUGGGGAGUACGGCCGGCAAGGUUA